GGUCGAUUAGCUCAGCCGGGAGAGCAUCUGGUUUACACCCAGAGUGUCGGCAGUUCGAUCCUGUCAUCGACCA
RNAcentral lists this transfer RNA (73 nucleotides) under Treponema sp. RNAcentral's name for it is "tRNA-Val". It matches the Rfam family "tRNA". Rfam says of the family: Transfer RNA (tRNA) molecules are approximately 80 nucleotides in length. Their secondary structure includes four short double-helical elements and three loops (D, anti-codon, and T loops). The record is from RNAcentral. RNAcentral also lists the same sequence under 1 other name. Lineage: Bacteria; Pseudomonadati; Spirochaetota; Spirochaetia; Treponematales; Treponemataceae.